RNAcentral lists this ribosomal RNA (250 nucleotides) under uncultured bacterium. RNAcentral describes it as "partial 16S ribosomal RNA". It matches the Rfam family "Bacterial small subunit ribosomal RNA", at positions 524 to 773 of the family's 1533-position model. The record is from RNAcentral.
UACGUAGGGUGCGAGCGUUAAUCGGAAUUACUGGGCGUAAAGCGUGCGCAGGUGGUUGUGUAAGCUUGAUGUGAAAUCCCCGGGCUUAACCUGGGAAUGGCAUUGAGGACUGCACGGCUAGAGUGUGGCAGAGGGGGGUGGAAUUCCGCGUGUAGCAGUGAAAUGCGUAGAGAUGCGGAGGAACACCGAUGGCGAAGGCAGCCCCCUGGGCUAACACUGACACUCAUGCACGAAAGCGUGGGGAGCAAAC